Molecule: long non-coding RNA, 2871 nt
Organism: Triticum dicoccoides
Lineage: Eukaryota; Viridiplantae; Streptophyta; Magnoliopsida; Poales; Poaceae
Exons: 2
Source: RefSeq, a predicted model, not a curated record
CAUGGGGGUAGGUUAUAUGAUCGAGGAACGGCGAAUCUGAGCCCACUAUGCAAUGAACCUUGAAUCUUUUUUAUUUGUAUUUAAAGGUGUUGCUCAUUUACGCUCCUAUGUUCAUAGCCGUCCUGUGUAAAGAUUUCUUCUCUCUCAUACCUUUAUUGCAUAUGAUUUGUUCUUGAUCUUUUAUUGUUUGUUGUUGGUCCUUUAUUUUGUUUGCGGUUUCUUCUACCAAAUCAGGGGCCAUUCCAGUUUGUUUUGUCCUUAUCUCUUCUCCUGUCAUAACUUCACCUAUUCAAGAAGCUUAUUUUUUCUAAUUUGAUACAGUGUCCUCUGAUGCAGCCUUUUUCUAUUCAGUCAUUGGAUCAACAAAAUAUUUACUAUUUCAAGCACAUUAAAGAUAUAAACGAUUAGAUAAUGGCUCAAGGUAAAGAGCUAUGUGUUGUUUUCAUUUAGUAAGUGCUUUAAUAUAAUCCAGCCAUUACAACUUUAUGACAUAUUCAAGAUACACAUUCAGUUAGCCCUUUUAAUUGAGCAUUGUUUGUUUUGAGUUUAUGGGCAAUUGUAGUACUCCCAUGCCAUUGUUAAAGCUCUGCACUUUAAUCACACUAAAUAUAGUUGACUAUUUUAUUAGCGGUAUGUAAAUGAGACAAUCUAGAAGCUGCAGCAAUAAAUCUGACCCGACGACCGAAAUGCCCUGAGCUCUGAGAAGCCGCAGGUUCUCGCAAUGUGCUUAUAUGCUAGAUCAGUUGUGUAUAAAUUUGUUUUUAUAAUAGUCAGAUCCAACCUUUGUAUUUGCUUCACUGGUUGUACUUUGGUUAGAAGCAAAUAAUGUGAUGUUGUCCUGUUGUGAUGUCCACACUAUCACUAUCAAAGUGUACAGGUAUAUUCCUUUUUUUUAUCAUUUUCACUUAAUCUUCCCUGUCCUGUUCAUUUUUGAAACCGAGUAUUGUAUGAGGUCCUACACUCUUCCAGCUUGCUAUAUUUGUUAAACACAUAUUGCAAUGGUGGGUGACUACUUUAGUUUCAUAUUUUGACAAGAUAGUCUUUCUGUAUGUCAAGUAAAAACAUGGAAAAUGACUGAUGGGGAAGAGUUGUCGUGUUUUAGGAACAAGUGCAGUAAUGUAAUUUUGAGCGAGAGAGAGAGGAGUACAUUUCUAAGCUACACUUGUGCCUCUGUUCUCAAUAGUUUCAAACUGAUGUGUUUCUUGCCUUACAUGAAUUGAACCAUGCUAGAAAUCAGAGAGUGGACAACUGUAGUUUUAGUUUUUAGUUAAAGUAUAUUAUCUGCUAGCUACUAUAUACUAUGCAACACCACAUUUUGAAUUAUCCAAUAGAAUUCAUGUUCAGACUGUUUUAGGUAGCAGACUGUAACAUAUGGGGACCCCUGAUGUGUACUAGGAAGUGUUUGUUCAUUUGUAUGGCAACAUGUGUUGUAGUGGCCAGGACCCUCUGGUGAGCUCAUCCACUCUUUAGUUUUCCACCCCUUUUAAUGUUUAAUUUUGUUGUCCUUUUAACGUUUAAGAACACCAACCGCUCCAAUUCGGUCGACGAUGGAGGUUUUCUUCAUCCUUGCGAUAUCCAAUCCCCAGUCGCCUAGCAGACCCAAGACACAUGCCCUCCUCGCCCCCAACCCCCUCUUCUUGACCAUUUGUGCCUUUAUGUUUUUAUAUUAUGUUAAUAAACCAUGUGCUAAUACUUUCGUGUUGUUAUUGUCAUUGGAAAAAGAAGUUUAAUACACUCGAGCAUUGUUUUGUUCUUGAUCAGGUGUAUGGAUGUGCCUAUAACUAAACAUAAAAAUAGGAUAGACACUAAAUUCUUUAAAGCAGUAGAAACUGGGAAGUACACAGAGGCUUACUUUCCUGUAUUUGGGUGUAUAUGAUUUUUGAUAUAAAAUGAAAAGGCAGAGUUGUUCUCACUAUGCCAAACUCCACCUUUACUUAAAGCCUUCUAUCAGUAGGAUAUAAGUAUGGCAGACUCAUUGAUCACGUGAUGUUGCACACAUACAGAAGAACUCAUGCACCCAAGUUGUCCCAUAUUAUUAUUAUGUGGAUCCAGCUGUAUAUUUGAUAGAUAGGCUGGAUGUGCAAGUCCUCUAGAAUAUGUAACUUCCGAAUAACAAGAAACUGGUUUCAAAUGCUCCUUAUUUUCUGUAGCAUAGUUAUCUGGUACCUCAGAAUUCUAUGUCAUGGAAGGUAAUGUAAAAAUACGUUUUUUUAUGAGCGCAAUUAAGAGUGUCAACUCUAUAUUAAAACUAGAUUAAACAUUAGCUCUGACCAGAUGGCCAUUUAUUUUGUCAUAUUACAGGGCAGAUAAAGAGUGGAUGCCCAACUGCUCCGAUGUAGGCCGCUCCGAAUCAAUUAUCCGAUAUAUGGCGUCACUUGAAGGGUUUGUCUAUAUUUAUCUUUAAGGCUACAACCUGGAGUCUCAUGGGGGUGUGAAGAUGAUACCUAAGUAAUCUAGGGCAUUGCUUUGUUAGGGGUUCACUUAUGUACAAGAAUGGCAUGUUCUUUCUUGUGUAAUAUAUUGUGGUUUUUUUUUCUGCUCAACACCAUCUGGACUAUGUAUCACUGUAAACUGCUUUAUGGUUUGGACCUGAGCGUUGGAGCAUGGUGCUGGACAGGGAACAAGUCCCUAAGACCGCUCUUUGGAAUUCCAAUAUACAUGGAGAUAGAAGUGACAUUUGAGGGCCAACAAAUAUGUUGUAUCGUGGAUGUCCCCCUUUACAUCAUUGUUUUAUGAAAUGCACUAACGCUCCCGGAAGGUUGUCCUGAGUAUAUUUGUAUAUUUGUUAUAACAAGUAUGAUUUGGUUUGAAGUUAUCCAAUGUCGUGUGAUGAACCUUGAUGUUUAGUAUGGAAUCAUUAGUAAGAGUUUA